CGGGAAUUUUGCACAAUGGCCGAAAGGCUGAUGCAGCAACGCCGCGUGAGCGAAGAAGGCCUUCGGGUUGUAAAGCUCUGUUGCCUGCGAAGAAGGGCCCUGUCAGGAAAUGGGCGGGGUUUGACGGUAGCAGGCGAGGAAGCCCCGGCAAACUACGUGCCAGCAGCCGCGGUAAUACGUAGGGGGCGAGCGUUGUCCGGAAUUACUGGGCGUAAAGGGCGUGUAGGCGGCCUGUUAAGUCAGGGGUGAAAGACCGGGGCUCAACCCCGGGGGUGCCUCUGAAACUGGCGGGCUUGAGUGCUCUAGAGGGCAGUGGAAUUCCCGGUGUAGCAGUGAAAUGCGUAGAGAUCGGGAGGAACACCAGUGGCGAAGGCGGCUGCCUGGGGAGUCACUGACGCUGAGGCGCGAAAGCUAGGGGAGCAAAC
RNAcentral lists this ribosomal RNA (425 nucleotides) under uncultured bacterium. Its description in RNAcentral is "bacterial SSU rRNA". It matches the Rfam family "Bacterial small subunit ribosomal RNA", at positions 356 to 773 of the family's 1533-position model. The record is from RNAcentral.